CACGUAGGGCGCAAGCGUUGUCCGGAAUUAUUGGGCGUAAAGAGCUCGUAGGCGGUCCGUCACGUCCGCUGUGAAAACCCAGGGCUCAACCCUGGGCUUGCAGUGGAUACGGGCAGACUAGAGGUAGGUAGGGGAGAAUGGAAUUCCCGGUGUAGCGGUGAAAUGCGCAGAUAUCAGGAAGAACACCCGUGGCGAAGGCGGUUCUCUGGGACGGUACUGACGCUGAGACGCGAAAGCGUGGGGAGCGAACAGG
This 253-nucleotide ribosomal RNA is filed under the name uncultured bacterium. RNAcentral's name for it is "partial 16S ribosomal RNA". It matches the Rfam family "Bacterial small subunit ribosomal RNA", at positions 524 to 776 of the family's 1533-position model. The record is from RNAcentral.